ACCCAACCCAUGCCCACCACUAGCUGAUGGCACAAAUACAAUUAACCCUAUAUCACCCAAAAUCAAGUCUGGGUUUCCACCCUAAGCUCAGAUUGUAGAUGUUGUUGGCCACUUGUAACAAAACAUGGCCAAGGCAGAAACUCGCUAUCUCUAGGUAAUAUAAAUUGCAUAACGAUGAAAAUGAUUGAUCAGAAGCGUGAAAACUCAACAGAAACACGAAAUCUGGAAUUGCUAAUUGCUCGCGGGAACAUAUUUGAAUAAUUGUAGAUGACGAUCAACGUAUACCACCUUCAUCCACACCUAAAAUCAGUUUCAAAAAUUCAAAAGCUACUGCAAAAGUAACAAGUUACUCCAAAUUUAGACUUGUUAUUCUGGGAGUGAAAAAAUAUAGAGAUCAGCCAUACCUCCUCAUCCACGAACAACUGCAAUGCAAGAAUUGCACCUUUCAAC
This 450-nucleotide long non-coding RNA is filed under the name Olea europaea (common olive). Its description in RNAcentral is "long non-coding RNA (OEUR_LNC002953)". Lineage: Eukaryota; Viridiplantae; Streptophyta; Magnoliopsida; Lamiales; Oleaceae. The record is from RNAcentral.